GAUGAACGCUAGCGGGAGGCCUAACACAUGCAAGCCGAGCGGUAUUUGUCUUUCGGGACAGAGAGAGCGGCGUACGGGUGCGGAACACGUGUGCAACCUGCCUUUAUCUGGGGGAUAGCCUUUCGAGAGGAAGAUUAAUACCCCAUAAUAUAAUGAAUGGCAUCAUUUAUUAUUGAAAACUCCGGUGGAUAGAGAUGGGCACGCGCAAGAUUAGAUAGUUGGUGAGGUAACGGCUCACCAAGUCGAUGAUCUUUAGGGGGCCUGAGAGGGUGAGCCCGUACACGGGUACUGAGACACGGACCAGGCUCCUACGGAGGGCAGCAGUGAGGAAUAUUGGACAAUGGGUUAGCGCCUGAUCCAGCCAUCCCGCGUGAAGGACGACGGCCCUAUGGGUUGUAAACUUCUUUUGUACAGGGAUAAACCUACUCUCGUGAGAGUAUCUGACGGUACUGUGCGAAUAAGCACCGGCUAACUCCGUGCCAGCAGCCGCAGUAA
Molecule: ribosomal RNA, 495 nt
Filed under: uncultured bacterium
Lineage: Bacteria
Description: partial 16S ribosomal RNA
Rfam family: Bacterial small subunit ribosomal RNA
Source: RNAcentral